Molecule: long non-coding RNA, 287 nt
Filed under: Rosa chinensis
Lineage: Eukaryota; Viridiplantae; Streptophyta; Magnoliopsida; Rosales; Rosaceae
Description: sRNA RchiOBHm_Chr5g0045051
Source: RNAcentral
UUUUUUUUUUUCGUGCGGACGAGUGAAAUCGUAAGCUUGAGUGAAGAUGCAAGGAAAAGUUUAGUGGAAGCUUCAAGUUCCUUUAUGAAUUUUACUAUCAGAUUGCCUAUUACAAUACUGCUGCUUCGGUUUUGUGCUCGACAACGAUCAAGAAUGAAGAUAAGAUGGAGUUCAGCAAGGUCCUAGAAGCAAUUAAUAAAGGGUAACUUUAAUGACAAGUAUGAGGAAUACAGGAAAAAGUGGGGGUGGCAGCAUCGUCGGUUCCAAAUCCCAGGCCAAAACUAAGG